Molecule: long non-coding RNA, 250 nt
Filed under: Mus musculus (house mouse)
Lineage: Eukaryota; Metazoa; Chordata; Mammalia; Rodentia; Muridae
Description: predicted gene, 54905 (ENSMUSG00002075271.1)
Rfam family: 7SK RNA (bases 1-193)
About the family: 7SK was discovered as an abundant small nuclear RNA in the mid-70s but a possible function has only recently been suggested. Two independent studies have found that 7SK RNA binds the CDK9/cyclin T complex (known as elongation factor P-TEFb).
Source: RNAcentral
GGAUGUGAGGGAGAUCUGGCUGAGACAUCUGUCAUCCCAUUGAUCAACAGGGUUGAUCUGGUGAUCUGAGUGUCACUGUGGGUGUCCCCUUCCUCCUAUUCCACACCAUGUGCAUCCCUUCCAAAGCUUUGCACUCAAAGAGAAGGACUUCCCCCCCCCCCCCCCCCCCCCCGAUAAAGAUGGCUCUGUCGAGCAUUCCUCUGUUGGAAACUCCACGCAAGCUUUGGAGUUCGUGUUGAGCUGAGCUCCG